Gossypium arboreum is the source of this 2558-nucleotide long non-coding RNA. RefSeq lists it as uncharacterized. The transcript is spliced from 6 exons. Lineage: Eukaryota; Viridiplantae; Streptophyta; Magnoliopsida; Malvales; Malvaceae. The record is from RefSeq and is a predicted model, not a curated record.
AUAUGGUGGCGACACCACCCAUUUUUUCCUACCCAAUCAUUAGGCCGUUACACAAAAAAAUUUAAUGUUUUAGGGAUGGAGGGACUGUAUAUGGCAGCACUGGUAUGCUUAUAUGGGUUAAAUAUGAGUCUUUGGAAAAUUAUUUUUUUAGUGGUUGAAGGAUAGGGGUUAAGCGAUAAUGAAUGGGUGGUGGCAACCUGUCAGGCUGCUCUUGUGGUGGAUGUGACCCAUCAAUCACAUGGUUCCAUUUCCUUCUAACAACUUGAAUUUGGCUUCACGAGGAAAAAAAAUGGGACCUUACAAACCAUGGUCCCCUCCCCUUAGCCAUUGUGCUAUAAAGAAAGAGAAGAAAAUAGCAAUUUAGGGAGAGAAGAGAGAAGAGAAAGAAAAGGGUUUAGCUGGAAAAAAAAAAGAAAUUAAUUUAGGAGAAAGAAGGGAGGAGAAUAAAUGUGUGUUUUAAGGUGUUUUUUUUAAAGAGAAAGUAACAAUUUAGGGAGAAGAGAAGAGUGUUUAGGAUUUUGAAAGGGGAUGAGACAAUAGAGUGUUUUGAACAGAGAAGAAGAGGCAAUUGCCAAAUUUCUUUUAAAGGAUGAGAGGCAACAACAAAUUUUAUUUUAAAGGUAUCCAAAUGGGUUCUUUGAUUACAUAAAAUUAUCACACAUCAAAUACGAUUAAUGCGCUGAUAAUAAUGGUCCGUACUGCGUAAUGAGGACCCGCGUCAACAGUCCGAGCUAUCAGUUGGAUGAAUGUCUUAUGCCAUAGUUGGAGGCAUCCGGAUUCAAAUUCAGAUUGACGGUAGUGUGGUCACAGGUGUAAGUACAAUGUUCGAACUGGCUGCGCUUUGUUAUCACUUACUAGGAUGCUUACCGAAUGAUGGUGGAGAUAAAUUUACGAGUUUGAGAUUUUCAUCGUUGAAGGGAAAUUUUGAAACUUUAUCGAGUAUUGCCACUAAGCGAGAGGUGAUGUGUGUCACUCUAGCAUAUAUAAUGCAUUUGAUAGAGGAUGUACUUAUGCUAGAUGCAAAGAGCAACAAGGUCUACUUGAUGUACUUGCCCCCUGUUAUCUGAUUUGACAGUUGCUCGUUCAUACAGUUCGGGUACAACAGUACUAGAAACAUUGUAUCGCGAGCUUGUCAGGCGACAAAGCACCAUUCUGUGGACAUUGACGGGUGUCCGAGAUUGCUGCAGUCUUAAGCGCUAUACAGGAUGCCACUUUGGCAUCAAUUAGUCACCAAACACACGUCUUCCCACUUGUGAAUAGGUGAAAAAAUUUAAGCAUUACAUCAAGAAUUUUUCUUUUUUAUGAAAAAUUGUUCUAACUAGUUAUUUUUUUCGUAAAUGGAGUACUUCUCCGAGUAUCAGGAGGUCGCAUAUGCUUCCGAUUUACCAACAGAUGACUGAGAAAAAUGCCGGAGAGGGGUUCAUCUAGAUGCCAUAUUCUAUCCCGAACAUUGUGGCUAUUAUUCCCCUAUUUGCUCACACUUGUGGUGCAUUAACGCACCAUUGCUGAAUUUCUCAACAAUCGAGUGGUACAACCGGGAUUGAGUAUUGUGACAGUUUGGGUUCAUAUAAGAUAUUUUGGAUGUUCCACAAAGUUUAGGGGAUGUCCACAGAAUUAACAAAAGGGAGAAACAGUCUAAGAAUUGGGUAUUAGAGUAUGAAGAAUAUCUUGUAUUGUGGAAUGACUAGAUGAGGCGAAGACCUCGGAUCGAUUUUGCUUUUUAUUUGCGACCCUCGAAGGAGAACCAAUGCUUUGUAUGUCAAGAAUGGGAAACUGUAUUCAUUUGGUGGGAAAUCGAUGCUAGUCCUUCCACAUAUGCAACAACAAGGGCACCUCUCCCACCGCCUAACACAUCCACCUCCUGCACCUAAACAUGAGCAUUCUUAUACAAAAUCUGGGGGUAGUUCUUAUCAUAUGGACUUGGGGGUAGAUAAUUAUUUUCCGAGUCUGUCAAGGACACAUAUUAGUUGGAGAUUAUUGGUUUCAAUUCUGAUCAUUCGAAUCCGAGAUCAUUGAUGAUGAUUGAUAUCUUCAGCCCAUUACCACCCCAGUACUCACUCUCUUGGGCAAACCUUUAGGACAUACGAUUUUUCGAGUAUGUUUAGCAUACCCCAAGGUUCGCCGAUGGAUGCUAUGAACAAUGUUUCGAGUGAAGAUAACAAUGAUCAUCGCGAGUACCCUCAACACCAAGACCGGGCACCAUAAUGGUUUACCCUUCGGACGACACCAUCGAACCAUCAAUUUUAGCACGUCAAACUUUAAGCCCAUUUCCACAGUUCUAUGGUACCCAACCACUUUCGGAAAAGAGUAUUCAUUUCACCAUGCAUAUCACCCUCAAGCCUGAUUAACCUUCACCUGGAAAGGUGUUGUUCUAGCUCGUACAUUGUGUAUGUAUUCCAAGAAGACAUGUUACCUUUUUUAGAUAAUUUGUAGAAGUAGUAAGAACAUUUUAAAAAUAUGUUGAAACUGAAAUUUACCCAUGUUCACUACUUGUUUCCACCAGUCUGUAUUCUUGUAAUCUCAGUGGAAAUUAGAGGCAAUUUGUCAGAUUUUGUAAA